GAUAUGAGACCUGCAUCAUGAUCUGAAGACUUUCCGUUCCUACUUCUUUGCUCCUCCCCAUCAUUUGCAGGAAAGAAGCCUAAAAAUAAAAUGAUGGUGCCGAUCUGUUAGUUCACACUGAGAAAUGGAUAAGCAGGCCUCUCCUCCCUGAGCCAGCGCACACACGCUGCCAAGAAGCCCUAUGAUUUCGCCAAAGAAGAAACAACAAUGAUUGUAUCUCUUUUUUUGAAGAAAGAAAGAAAUUUUAGACCUUCAGUAACAAGGU
This is a long non-coding RNA of Canis lupus familiaris (dog), 265 nucleotides long. RefSeq lists it as uncharacterized. The record is from RefSeq and is a predicted model, not a curated record. NCBI's taxonomy places the organism in Eukaryota, Metazoa, Chordata, Mammalia, Carnivora, Canidae. The transcript has 3 exons.